Molecule: ribosomal RNA, 497 nt
Filed under: uncultured bacterium
Lineage: Bacteria
Description: partial 16S ribosomal RNA
Rfam family: Bacterial small subunit ribosomal RNA
Source: RNAcentral
GAUGAACGCUGGCGGCGUGCCUAAUACAUGCAAGUCGAGCGAACAGACGAGGAGCUUGCUCCUCUGACGUUAGCGGCGGACGGGUGAGUAACACGUGGAUAACCUACCUAUAAGACAGGGAUAACUUAGGGAAACCGGAGCUAACACCGGAUAAUAUAUUGAACCGCAUGGUUCAAUAGUGAAAGACGGUUUUGCUGUCACUUCUAGAUGGAUCCGCGCCGCAUUAGCUAGUUGGUAAGGUAACGGCUUACCAAGGCAACGAUGCGUAGCCGACCUGAGAGGUGGAUCGGCCACACUGGAACUGAGCCACGGUCCAGACUCCUACGGGAGGCAGCAGUAGGGAAUCUUCCGCAAUGGGCGAAAGCCUGACGGAGCAACGCCGCGUGAGUGAUGAAGGUCUUCGGAUCGUAAAACUCUGUUAUUAGGGAAGAACAAAUGUGUAAGUAACUAUGCACGUCUUGACGGUACCUAAUCAGAAAGCCACGGCUAACUACGUG